Molecule: ribosomal RNA, 253 nt
Filed under: uncultured bacterium
Lineage: Bacteria
Description: partial 16S ribosomal RNA
Rfam family: Bacterial small subunit ribosomal RNA
Source: RNAcentral
UACGUAGGUGGCGAGCGUUGUCCGGAUUUACUGGGCGUAAAGGGCGUGCAGGCGGUUUGCUAAGUCUAGGGUGAAAGCUCCCGGCUUAACUGGGAGAGGUCCUUGGAUACUGGCAGACUUGAGGAGGGUAGAGGAGAGUGGAAUUCCCGGUGUAGUGGUGAUAUGCGUAGAUAUCGGGAGGAACACCAGUGGCGAAGGCGGCUCUCUGGCCCGGUACUGACGCUGAGGUGCGAAAGCGUGGGGAGCAAACAGG